This 72-nucleotide transfer RNA is filed under the name Allopsontus sp. 1 JZ-2014. RNAcentral's name for it is "tRNA-Lys". The record is from RNAcentral. Lineage: Eukaryota; Metazoa; Arthropoda; Insecta; Archaeognatha; Machilidae.
CACUAGGUAGCUAAAAGUUAGCAAUGGUCUCUUAAACCAUUUUAUAGUAUAGUAACGCAUUACUCCUAAUGA